GCUGGGGUCGCCUAACCAGGUAUGGCGCCGGCCUUGAGAGCCGGUGGGCUUUACGCCCGUGUGGGUUCAAAUCCCACCCCCAGCG
This 85-nucleotide transfer RNA is filed under the name Candidatus Aenigmatarchaeota archaeon. RNAcentral describes it as "tRNA-Ser". It matches the Rfam family "tRNA". From Rfam's summary of the family: Transfer RNA (tRNA) molecules are approximately 80 nucleotides in length. The record is from RNAcentral. Lineage: Archaea; Nanobdellati; Candidatus Aenigmatarchaeota.